CUCUCUCGUGCGUUUUCCUUUCUCCAGCCGACAGCCUCUGCAGGAUUAAUUUUCUUUGGCUUUAUUUCAUUGACUUGAGUCAAUGUUUAUCCCCUCAUUCGGCCGACAUCCCCUAGCUGUCUUCCCUUUUCUUCAUUUUCUCUGCUUUUUGCUGGUUCAACGGACGAAGCAGCUUCUUCAUUUCUCUCUUGCGGCCACCUCCACCGAACAGCCCCUGCAACCCUUGGCCACACGUCCGCGGCGCAGCCAUCUUCGGUCAGCUAGUGAAACCGAAGUUGCUUCUUCAGUGAAUAUGUUGACCCAGCCACGAAGCCGCGCGUUCGUUCCUUCAUCAACCCAGCGAAGCCACCGAAACCAGCGGCACCUCUCCGCCAGCGUCACCCCCGUUUCGUUAGAACUGAGCCGCAGCAGCUCCGCUCGCCAAGCCCAUCAGCCACCGUUCCUCGAUCUCUUGGCCGCUCCAUUCAGCUGCUUGAAGGCCCCUCUUCAUCAAAUCAGCAAGAUCAACAGCGCGGGAACAGAAUCUCCAGCCCAGCUGCGAGCUUGCGUGGCCGAUUUUGGGCCGUUCCGGGCCCCGGUUGGUGGACUCACCUUGGAGAGGAUCGAGCUUUGUCGCGUGCUCGUCGAUUUGAUCCAAGCGGAUCUUUAAUCUAGACCCUGAUGAAGAACCUAAGAAGAAAGAACCCGAAGAGGAGUAUCUGGAGGAGAACCCCGAUGAUGAUCUAGAGUAAGAUCUUGAUGAGGAUUGAGACUUCACUCCUAUUUGAUGACCUUUGCUGUAGAAUCUGUUUGAGUAGAAAACAACCUUUUUAGCAUGGCUUGUAUAUGUACAUGAAUGACUGAGUUGUUGUAUAUGUACAUAAGGGUGUUGGUUUU
Molecule: long non-coding RNA, 876 nt
Organism: Eucalyptus grandis
Lineage: Eukaryota; Viridiplantae; Streptophyta; Magnoliopsida; Myrtales; Myrtaceae
Exons: 2
Source: RefSeq, a predicted model, not a curated record